UGGAUAUGAUGACUGAUUAUCUGAGAAAAUAAUUGAUGAAAUCUCAUAAAACUAAGAAGAAGAAAGAACUAC
This is a small nucleolar RNA of Mustela erminea (ermine), 72 nucleotides long. RefSeq annotates it as small nucleolar RNA SNORD20. The record is from RefSeq and is a predicted model, not a curated record. NCBI's taxonomy places the organism in Eukaryota, Metazoa, Chordata, Mammalia, Carnivora, Mustelidae. The transcript has a single exon.